UACAGAGGGUGCGAGCGUUAAUCGGAAUUACUGGGCGUAAAGCGUGCGUAGACGGUUAUUUAAGUCGGGUGUGAAAGCCCCGGGCUCAACCUGGGAAUUGCAUUCGAGACUGAAUAGCUAGGGUACGGUAGAGGGAAGCGGAAUUUCCGGUGUAGCGGUGAAAUGCGUAGGUAUCGGAAGGAACAUCAGUGGCGAAAGCGGCUUCCUGGACCAGUACCGACGUUCAGGCACGAAAGCGUGGGGAGCAAACAGG
This 253-nucleotide ribosomal RNA is filed under the name uncultured bacterium. RNAcentral's name for it is "partial 16S ribosomal RNA". It matches the Rfam family "Bacterial small subunit ribosomal RNA", at positions 524 to 776 of the family's 1533-position model. The record is from RNAcentral.